RNAcentral lists this ribosomal RNA (465 nucleotides) under uncultured bacterium. RNAcentral's name for it is "partial 16S ribosomal RNA". It matches the Rfam family "Bacterial small subunit ribosomal RNA", at positions 28 to 507 of the family's 1533-position model. The record is from RNAcentral.
GACGAACGCUGGCGGCGUGCUUAACACAUGCAAGUCGAACGGAAAGGCCCUGCUUGCAGGGUACUCGAGUGGCGAACGGGUGAGUAACACGUGGGUGAUCUGCCCUGCACUUCGGGAUAAGCCUGGGAAACUGGGUCUAAUACCGGAUAGGAGCCAUUUUUAGUGUGAUGGUUGGAAAGUUUUUUCGGUGUAGGAUGAGCUCGCGGCCUAUCAGCUUGUUGGUGGGGUAAUGGUCUACCAAGGCGGCGACGGGUAGCCGGCCUGAGAGGGUGGACGGCCACAUUGGGACUGAGAGACGGCCCAGACUCCUACGGGAGGCAGCAGUGGGGAAUAUUGCACAAUGGGCGCAAGCCUGAUGCAGCGACGCCGCGUGGGGGAUGACGGCCUUCGGGUUGUAAACUCCUUUCGCUAGGGACGAAGCUUUUUGUGACGGUACCUAGAGAAGAAGCACCGGCUAACUACGUG